Molecule: long non-coding RNA, 705 nt
Filed under: Fukomys damarensis (Damara mole-rat)
Lineage: Eukaryota; Metazoa; Chordata; Mammalia; Rodentia; Bathyergidae
Description: lncRNA (ENSFDAG00000027040.1)
Source: RNAcentral
GACAGCCGGGUAGCUAAGCAGAGGCUCAAGCUUCUUUCUCUCGUUUCUGUUCUCACGGUUUUGGAGAAACCUUACUGAUUCACAAGACAAAGCUCCGGAAAACAACUGAGAGCCACCCCCAUUCCCGUGUCCAUCGUGCUGAGCACACAUUUUGACACCACCAGGGAAUGCUGAAAGGUGGUAAGAGUGGGGAGCUCCUGCUGAGAAUAUUCCAGCAGAGACCUGAAGAAUAUGAGAGAGAAAGUUCUGCAUGCAAUGGGAAAGCAUUUCCAGCAGAAAGGAGGCUGGAAAGAAACACACAGAAAAGAAGGAGAUGAAAACAGAACAGAGGAAGGCCCCCAAAUUGGGAGAUGAGACAGGAAGGCCUAUGCUUGGCAUGUACUUGUGUCCACAAGGAGCCACGGAGUCUCUCACCAGAGGACAAUCACAGAGGUUUUCCACGAACAGACAUGGCACUGCCACAGCCAGGAACCUCAGGUUAUUUGCAAAAAAAUGAGACAUCACUCAAAUAGCCUGCAUAGAAAGAGUGAAUAUUUUCAUUUCCACAAGUGCAUGGCAUCCUCAAUUGGACUGAAACCCCUAAUUCAUAAGGAAAAUCAUGCCUUUGUUCUCCAAAAGAACUCAGGAGGAAAAACCAACAUACAGUUACACAGAAAAUUUAACUGACAGAGGACAGCUUAAAAAAACAAACAACAACAAAGUAAG